RNAcentral lists this ribosomal RNA (422 nucleotides) under uncultured prokaryote. RNAcentral's name for it is "bacterial SSU rRNA". It matches the Rfam family "Bacterial small subunit ribosomal RNA", at positions 355 to 774 of the family's 1533-position model. The record is from RNAcentral.
UAGGGAAUAUUGGUCAAUGGGCGCAAGCCUGAACCAGCCAUCCCGCGUGCAGGAAGACGGCCCUAUGGGUUGUAAACUGCUUUUCCAGGGGGAGAAUUUUUCUGUCGUGACAGGAAUUGACGGUACCCUGGGAAUAAGCAUCGGCUAACUCCGUGCCAGCAGCCGCGGUAAUACGGAGGAUGCGAGCGUUAUCCGGAUUUAUUGGGUUUAGAGGGUGCGUAGGCGGAUAGAUAAGUCAGUGGUGAAAACCUGCAGCUUAACUGUAGACUUGCCAUUGAUACUGUUGGUCUUGAGUAUGGUUAAGGUAGGCGGAAUGUGUAAUGUAGCGGUGAAAUGCUUAGAUAUUACACAGAACACCGAUUGCGAAGGCAGCUUACUAAGCUACAACUGACACUGAAGCACGAAAGCGUGGGGAUCAAACA